RNAcentral lists this ribosomal RNA (292 nucleotides) under uncultured bacterium. RNAcentral describes it as "partial 16S ribosomal RNA". It matches the Rfam family "Bacterial small subunit ribosomal RNA", at positions 505 to 796 of the family's 1533-position model. The record is from RNAcentral.
GUGCCAGCCGCCGCGGUAAUACGAAGGGGGCUAGCGUUGCUCGGAAUUACUGGGCGUAAAGGGCGCGUAGGCGGCUUGAUCAGUCAGGCGUGAAAUUCCUGGGCUUAACCUGGGGGCUGCGCUUGAUACGGUCAGGCUAGAGGUCAGAAGAGGCUCGUGGAAUUCCCAGUGUAGAGGUGAAAUUCGUAGAUAUUGGGAAGAACACCGGUGGCGAAGGCGGCGAGCUGGUCUGAUACUGACGCUGAGGCGCGACAGCGUGGGGAGCAAACAGGAUUAGAUACCCGCGUAGUCC